This 408-nucleotide ribosomal RNA is filed under the name uncultured bacterium. RNAcentral describes it as "partial 16S ribosomal RNA". It matches the Rfam family "Bacterial small subunit ribosomal RNA", at positions 28 to 526 of the family's 1533-position model. The record is from RNAcentral.
GACGAACGCUGGCGGCGUGCCUAAUACAUGCAAGUCGAGCGAAGCGGCGGAUGGGUGAGUACCGCGUGGGUAACCUGCCCUUAAGUCUGGGAUACCAUUUGGAAACAGAUGCUAAUACCGGAUAUUAAAGGAUGGACCUUCGACUCAUUAGCUAGUUGGUACGGUAACGGCUUACAAAGGCGAUGAUGCAUAGCGUGGGUGAGAGACUGAUCGGCCACAUUGGGACUGAGACACGGCACAGACUCCUACGGGAGGCAGCAGUAGGGAAUCUUCCACAAUGGACGAAAGUCUGAUGGAGCAACGCCGCGUGAGUGAAGAAGGUGUUCGGAUCGUAAAGCUCUGUUGUUGGUGAAGCGGUAAUCAACCAGAAAGUCACGGCUAACUACGUGCCAGCAGCCGCGGUAAUAA